RNAcentral lists this transfer RNA (537 nucleotides) under uncultured bacterium. RNAcentral's name for it is "partial 16S-23S ribosomal RNA intergenic spacer". The stretch from base 53 to 126 matches the Rfam family "tRNA". The record is from RNAcentral.
UGAUAGGUUUUUUUGCUGUUAUAUUCUUCUUAUAAUAAUAUUAUAGGUUUCCGGGCCUAUAGCUCAGUUGGUUAGAGCGCUACACUGAUAAUGUAGAGGUCCCAGGUUCAAAUCCUGGUAGGCCCACUUUUGAAGCAAGCGUCUAAUUUAGGAGCAUUGCUCAAAGCCGAAUAAUUAAAAGAAGCUCGUAAGGGUUGAAUUAAUUAUUAAUGGGGGAUUAGCUCAGCUGGCUAGAGCGCCUGCCUUGCACGCAGGAGGUCAUCGGUUCGACUCCGAUAUCCUCCACUAUUCUUUUCUAAGAAUAAGAUGGAGAAGGAAAAAGAGAAACAAGCAACACAGAGGUGUUGCUCAUUAACAUUUUGGAACAACAUUUAGCUAACAAUCGCUAUAUAGAUCGCCGACAUUUAAUCUUCGGUCAGAUUGUUACGAAAAUGCCAAAUAUGUUGAAAGACGUUCAUUGACAUAAUGUGAAGAUUAACUAAAAUCAUUAAGAAAUUACGAAGAAAGUAAUUAAGAGCACACGGUGGAUGCCUUGGC